AUGGAUCCAGUUUUGUCGAGAAUGGGACUCGUUAUGCCGGGUAUGCAAGCGGCCGUGACCCUGCUGGAGGCCGGGGGGAACCCCCAGCCCCCCGGGGGGUCCCUGCGCCUCCUCUGCCGAGGAUCCGGGUUCAGUUUGGGCAGUUUCAGAAUGUUCUGGAUCCGCCAGAGACCCGGGCAGGGGUUGGAAUACGUCGCAGCGAUCAAGAACGAUGGAUCCAGCUACGCCUACGCAUCAUCAGUGCAGGGCCGGUUCAGGAUCUCCAGGGACAACGGGCAGAUCUCGGUGACGCUGACCAUGAACAACCUCAAGGACGAGGAUUCCGGAUCCUAUUUCUGCGUGAAAGCUGCCUCUGGUACUUGGGGUGCUGCUGCUUAUGGGCCGACAUUUGGGAACAGCGGGUGA
Melozone crissalis (California towhee) is the source of this 405-nucleotide non-coding RNA. The record is from the annotation of a RefSeq genome assembly. NCBI's taxonomy places the organism in Eukaryota, Metazoa, Chordata, Aves, Passeriformes, Passerellidae.